Long non-coding RNA from Papaver somniferum (opium poppy), 412 nucleotides. RefSeq lists it as uncharacterized. The record is from RefSeq and is a predicted model, not a curated record. The transcript is spliced from 4 exons. NCBI's taxonomy places the organism in Eukaryota, Viridiplantae, Streptophyta, Magnoliopsida, Ranunculales, Papaveraceae.
GAAGAGUCGACCAAAGAUGAGAAAAAUGCUAUUGAAAAAUCGCCACAAUAAUAGGGAUUUUCCGGUGUAGAAUGAUUGCUCUCACAGAUGCUUUGGAUUAAUGGCAGGGGCAUCAAGAAUGCCAAUUAUGUGCUUCCAGUUUAGUUUUUUGGUUGUCGAUUAACUGAUUUAUUGGUGGAGACCGCGAAAGAGCAGGAUGGCUCAGUCAGUAAUAUCACCGUGCAGCCCACAGUUUUUCAGGCAUUGACACUAGCAGUACGUAAAGCGAGUCAAUCUAUAUGCAGUUAAGAAGAAAACGAUAAUAGAAGAUCCUUGCUUUGCCCCCAGAAGCAUGGCAAUACAGUCGAAGAAAAAUUAUAAUCAUCACAAUGUAUGUGAUGUAACACGUUUUCUAAUUUAUUUAUCAUUGAUU